UUUUAAUGAGAGUUUGAUCCUGGCUCAGGACGAACGCUGGCGGCGUGCCUAAUACAUGCAAGUAGAACGCUGAUGUUUGGUGUUUACACUAGACUGAUGAGUUGCGAACGGGUGAGUAACGCGUAGGUAACCUGCCUCAUAGCGGGGGAUAACUAUUGGAAACGAUAGCUAAUACCGCAUAAGAGUAUUAACACAUGUUAGUUAUUUAAAAGGAGCAAUUGCUUCACUGUGAGAUGGACCUGCGUUGUAUUAGCUAGUUGGUGAGGUAAAGGCUCACCAAGGCGACGAUACAUAGCCGACCUGAGAGGGUGAUCGGCCACACUGGG
This 326-nucleotide ribosomal RNA is filed under the name Streptococcus agalactiae. RNAcentral describes it as "bacterial SSU rRNA". It matches the Rfam family "Bacterial small subunit ribosomal RNA", at positions 1 to 317 of the family's 1533-position model. Lineage: Bacteria; Bacillati; Bacillota; Bacilli; Lactobacillales; Streptococcaceae. The record is from RNAcentral.